This 407-nucleotide ribosomal RNA is filed under the name uncultured bacterium. Its description in RNAcentral is "partial 16S ribosomal RNA". It matches the Rfam family "Bacterial small subunit ribosomal RNA", at positions 30 to 526 of the family's 1533-position model. The record is from RNAcentral.
AUUGAACGCUAGCGGGAUGCCUUACACAUGCAAGUCGAACGGAGUGGCGGACGGGUGAGUAAUAGAUCGGAACGUGCCCUGUAGCGGGGGUUAUCUACCCGACUCUGAUGCUACUACCGCAUUCAAUUGGAGCGGUCGAUAUCGGAUUAGCUAGUUGGGGGGGUAAAGGCUCACCAAGGCAACGAACCGGAGCCGGGUUGAGAGGACGACCAGCCACAAUGGGACUGAGACACGGCCCAGACUCCUACGGGAGGCAGCAGUGGGGAAGUUUGGACAAUGGGGGAAAACCUGAUCCAGCCAUCCCGCGUGUAUGAUGAAGGCCUUCGGGUUGUAAAGUACGUUUGGCAGAGAGGCGGUAUCAGCAGAAUAAGCACCGGCUAACUUCGUGCCAGCAGCCGCGGUAAUUC